ACAAGCGGUGGAUGAUGUGGUUAAUUUCGAUGCAACGCGAAAACCUUAACCCAACCUUUGACAUGUACGGAAUCCUUUAGAGAUAGAGGAGUGCUCGAAAGAGAACCGUAACACAGGUGCUGCAUGGCUGUCGUCAGCUCGUGUCGUGAGAUGUUGGGUUAAGUCCCGCAACGAGCGCAACCCUUGUCAUUAGUUGCUACAUUCAGUUGGGCACUCUAAUGAGACUGCCGGUGACAAACCGGAGGAAGGUGGGGAGUGACGUCAAGUCCUCAUGGCCCUUAUAGGUGGGGCGUACACACGUCAUACAAUGGAUGGUACAAAGGGUCGCCAACCCGCGAGGGGGGAGCCAAUCCCAUAAAGCCAUUCGUAGUCCGGAUCGCAGUCUGCAACUCGACUGCGUGAAGUCGGAAUCGCUAGUAAUCGUGGAUCAGAAUGUCACGGUGAAUACGUUCCCGGGUCUU
This 461-nucleotide ribosomal RNA is filed under the name uncultured Acidovorax sp. RNAcentral's name for it is "bacterial SSU rRNA". It matches the Rfam family "Bacterial small subunit ribosomal RNA", at positions 925 to 1382 of the family's 1533-position model. Lineage: Bacteria; Pseudomonadati; Pseudomonadota; Betaproteobacteria; Burkholderiales; Comamonadaceae. The record is from RNAcentral.